RNAcentral lists this small RNA (151 nucleotides) under Chelonoidis abingdonii (Abingdon island giant tortoise). RNAcentral describes it as "TUC338 (ENSCABG00000007898.1)". Lineage: Eukaryota; Metazoa; Chordata; Testudines; Testudinidae. The record is from RNAcentral.
UUGACAGCACUGGAAACUAAAGCCCUCCAUUUAUUCAUAGACCAGACACACAGUGCAAGAUACCGCCACUGCCCUGCCUUAAUUGGAAGCAUUCCAGCUCCACGGCAGAGUGGACAAUUCAUCCCCUUGGCCUCUUUGCUCAACUGCCAAU